Molecule: transfer RNA, 88 nt
Filed under: Coccidioides posadasii str. Silveira
Lineage: Eukaryota; Fungi; Ascomycota; Eurotiomycetes; Onygenales; Onygenaceae
Description: tRNA-Leu
Source: RNAcentral
GCCUGGUGCAGAUGGCUCAAUGGCAAUAGCAUCAUCUGGCUCAGAAUACUCUCCUCCAGAGGCAGGGGUUCAAAUCCCCCUGCAGGCA